GGAGGAAAAGAAACCAACAGGGAUUGCCUUAGUAGCGGCGAGUGAAGCGGCAAAAGCUCAAAUUUGAAAUCUGGCACUUUCAGUGUCCGAGUUGUAAUUUGAAGAAGGUAUCUUUGGGUCUGGCUCUUGUCUAUGUUUCUUGGAACAGAACGUCACAGAGGGUGAGAAUCCCGUGCGAUGAGAUGUCCCAGACCUAUGUAAAGUUCCUUCGAAGAGUCGAGUUGUUUGGGAAUGCAGCUCUAAGUGGGUGGUAAAUUCCAUCUAAAGCUAAAUAUUGGCGAGAGACCGAUAGCGAACAAGUACAGUGAUGGAAAGAUGAAAAGAACUUUGAAAAGAGAGUGAAAAAGUACGUGAAAUUGUUGAAAGGGAAGGGCUUGAGAUCAGACUUGGUAUUUUGUAUGUUACUCUCUCGGGGGUGGCCUCUACAGUUUACCGGGCCAGCAUCAGUUUGGGCGGUAGGACAAUUGCAAAGAAAUGUGGCACUGCCUCGGUAGUGUGUUAUAGUCUUUGUCGAUACUGCCAGCCUAGACUGAGGACUGCGGCUUCGGCCUAGGAUGUUGGCAUAAUGAUCUUAAGUCGCCCGUCU
RNAcentral lists this ribosomal RNA (586 nucleotides) under Lodderomyces orthopsilosis. RNAcentral's name for it is "eukaryotic LSU rRNA". It matches the Rfam family "Eukaryotic large subunit ribosomal RNA", at positions 52 to 654 of the family's 3401-position model. Lineage: Eukaryota; Fungi; Ascomycota; Pichiomycetes; Serinales; Debaryomycetaceae. The record is from RNAcentral.